This 26-nucleotide non-coding RNA is filed under the name Mus musculus (house mouse). Lineage: Eukaryota; Metazoa; Chordata; Mammalia; Rodentia; Muridae. The record is from RNAcentral.
UACAGUGCGCAUGACCGCAGCUUCUC